This 95-nucleotide non-coding RNA is filed under the name Heyndrickxia sporothermodurans. RNAcentral's name for it is "Bacillus sporothermodurans Glycine sequence". It matches the Rfam family "Glycine riboswitch aptamer". From Rfam's summary of the family: This family represents the bacterial glycine riboswitch. Glycine riboswitches usually consist of two metabolite-binding aptamers domains with similar structures in tandem. Lineage: Bacteria; Bacillati; Bacillota; Bacilli; Caryophanales; Bacillaceae. The record is from Rfam by way of RNAcentral.
AUGAUUUCAGGGGGAGAGACUGCUUAAAUGCAGAGCCGAAGGAGCAAGUAAUGGAUCAUUAUGAAUCUCUCAGGCAAAAAGACUUCUGAUUGACG